Molecule: ribosomal RNA, 496 nt
Filed under: uncultured bacterium
Lineage: Bacteria
Description: partial 16S ribosomal RNA
Rfam family: Bacterial small subunit ribosomal RNA
Source: RNAcentral
GACGAACGCUGGCGGCGUGCCUAAUACAUGCAAGUAGAACGCUGAAGCGAGGAGCUUGCUCUUCUUGGAUGAGUUGCGAACGGGUGAGUAACGCGUAGGUAACCUGCCUUGUAGCGGGGGAUAACUAUUGGAAACGAUAGCUAAUACCGCAUAACAAUGGAUGACACAUGUCAUUUAUUUGAAAGGGGCAAUUGCUCCACUACAAGAUGGACCUGCGUUGUAUUAGCUAGUAGGUGAGGUAAUGGCUCACCUAGGCGACGAUACAUAGCCGACCUGAGAGGGUGAUCGGCCACACUGGGACUGAGACACGGCCCAGACUCCUACGGGAGGCAGCAGUAGGGAAUCUUCGGCAAUGGGGGCAACCCUGACCGAGCAACGCCGCGUGAGUGAAGAAGGUUUUCGGAUCGUAAAGCUCUGUUGUAAGUCAAGAACGGGUGUGAGAGUGGAAAGUUCACACUGUGACGGUAGCGUACCAGAAAGGGACGGCUAACUACGU